RNAcentral lists this ribosomal RNA (422 nucleotides) under uncultured bacterium. RNAcentral's name for it is "bacterial SSU rRNA". It matches the Rfam family "Bacterial small subunit ribosomal RNA", at positions 100 to 518 of the family's 1533-position model. The record is from RNAcentral.
CACGGGUGAGUAACGCGUAUCCAACCUUCCUGCCAGUAGGGAACAGCCCGGCGAAAGUCGGAUUAAUGCCCUAUGUUCUUCAAUGCGGAACAUCGUAAGUUGAACGGAAAAGAUUCAUCGCUGGCAGAUGGGGAUGCGUCCGAUUAGCUUGCCGGCGGGUAACGGCCACCGGGGCGACGAUCGGUAGGGGUUCUGAGAGGAAGGUCCCCCACACUGGUACUGAGACACGGACCAGACUCCUACGGGAGGCAGCAGUGAGGAAUAUUGGUCAAUGGGCGUAAGCCUGAACCAGCCAAGUAGCGUGCAGGAAUGACGGCCCUACGGGUUGUAAACUGCUUUUAUGCGGGGAUAAAGUGCGGCACGUGUGCCGCUUUGCAGGUACCGCAUGAAUAAGGACCGGCUAAUUCCGUGCCAGCAGCUGC